Long non-coding RNA from Chenopodium quinoa (quinoa), 613 nucleotides. RefSeq lists it as uncharacterized. The record is from RefSeq and is a predicted model, not a curated record. The transcript is spliced from 2 exons. Lineage: Eukaryota; Viridiplantae; Streptophyta; Magnoliopsida; Caryophyllales; Amaranthaceae.
GUGGGGAAAAUGUUAUUCCCACCGGUUUUGAACCGGUGGGUUUGUUAUUUUUUUUAAAAAACUGCCCCCUUAUAACCCCUAACCCUACCUCACGCACUCCUCACUUCUCAGCCGCCCAUUUUCUCCCUCCCCUCCUUCUCUUUCUCUCUCCUCUCUCCCUCUCCUCAUUCUCUUUCUCAUCUCCUUCUCUCUCUUCUUUUUCGACUCCUUGUCUCAAAAAACCAGAAAUUAGUUAUAGAAUCUCACAAUUGAUUAUAGAUCUUUCACUCGUUGUCUCAAAUUCUCUUUUAUUCGACUCCUUCUCCCUUUUUUUUUUGAUCUCGUUCUCGUCUCCUCUUUCAUUUCGAGGACAUGCAUGAACAAGAGCAACACUGAUUUCGAGGGUUUUUGUUGAAAUUCGAAGUAUAUUUCAAGAAGCAGGAAAAUAUAAAUCGACGAAUUGCAAUUUCUGGGAUUUUUUUAUAAGUAUUGUAAUUUUUUUUAUUUAUACGUUGUAAUUGUUAGAUUAUUUUGUUUUUAAGACAAAUUGUUAGAUUAAAUUGAUUUAUAUUGUAUUUUUUUUUUAUUAUAUGUUGUAACUUUUCGAUUAUAAUGAUUGAAAUUUCGAUUUAUA